Podarcis lilfordi (Lilford's wall lizard) is the source of this 4048-nucleotide non-coding RNA. The record is from the annotation of a GenBank genome assembly. NCBI's taxonomy places the organism in Eukaryota, Metazoa, Chordata, Lepidosauria, Squamata, Lacertidae.
UGCUUUGCCAUGAUGCAGUGUCAUCCCUCUUCUCCUUAAUUCAGGAUAAGGACUAAAAGGGGGCUUAAUUUUCCCGCGUUAUAUCCAAAUUUGAUUAGAUAUGUGGUCCCAUGAAAUCAUUUCACUAUGUGAUCCUGAUUGGCUGAUAUCACAUGACGAAAAGUAGGGACAAGAGGAGGAGGACCACAAUUAUGGACUCUCCCCAAACAUACCUCCAAGUGUGGUUGGGCCAUGUAUAUAGGCUCUCUAUGUUGCCCUCCACGUAUAGAACAAAGACAUGAUCCAGCCCACUCUCAGAUACAUUGCAGAGGCAUUGGAUGAAUGUAAAGUAUUUGAGGUGGUGUGGAGAGGUGGUAGAGAUGAAACCUGGGGAGAAAUUUGUGGAAGUAGUGUGAGAGAGUAUCAAUUCGGUAAUGACUCAGGAUAUGAGAUAAGAUAAACAGCAACACAUAGAAAAAGAAAAACAUGGGGAGGGAAAUGAACUUUUGGAUGAACCCAUAAAAUGAAACAAAGGUAAUGUUCUUGAACAACUGAGGAUCUGGUGCUUCCCAGUGUGUAAAAGGGAAAUCCCAGACAAGAGCCACAACAUAAAAUAAAAUUAAGAAAUAAAGCAUUUCCUUGACAUCAAUUAAGAGAUUUUAUGUGUACUAGAAGAGAAUAUCAGAUAUUUUGGCUACAGUCCACAGGCUGAUUAUUCUGGAAUAGUGCCAUUGUCUUUAAUUUUGUACUUCAGAGUAAGCGAAGGCUGCUGCAGAUGUCAUUUCAACCAAAUAUUUAAUGUGGUUAUUGUAUCAGAACUCCAGUUCCAUUCAAUUUAAGCCAAAUGUAAAUAUGGUUAUGUAUAUGUAUCUAUAGACAUAAUUUCAUCAGGCCAUUUCUGAAUGAAGAACAUGACGUCAGAACUGCCACUGAUAGUUGAAGUAUAAAAUCCAAUGUCUUCAUGGUCAUUUAGCUUGUGCAAUAGUCUACAGUUAGGUAGCACCCAACCCUAGGGCUGCAUCAUUGUAUUAGAAGUACCACCACCUUUUCCCUUUUGCUUAUUCGUUGUUGUUUUUUAAGUGAUGGAUAGGAUGGAAAGAUAGAAGCACAUACAAUAGAGAAAAAUUAAAGUGGGUCCCGUGGUAAACUGGGUUUGAAAAACUUGAUAUAUUACUGGAUUAAGAGGAUUUACACAAUUUAUUUGAUGUGCUCCCACAUUUAUGCCUGCUGGAGAGAGCAUGGAAGGUUUUUUUUUUAAGCCCUGGGCAAUAUGAAGAUUAGGGAGAAAGACUGAUAAAGGUAUUGUAUUCCUCGAUGUCAUGCCCUUCCUUGAGGACUUAUGAGGAUAACGAGUGGGAGGAAGAGGCCAUGAUUCAGAGCCCUUCCAGUCAAGCCUCUGACUCAAAACUGGGCCUUUCAGUUGAGAAUUUUCAUCUGGAACUCUCACAGGUCCCUUGUUCCUUGUUCUAGGGAGAGGAGGUCAGGCCAUUCAAUGCUGAGGAGCCCCAUCAUUUGCCAGGGGAGGGCAAGGUCUCCACAGCACAGAAUGAGGUGUCAGGAUUAGAGGAAAGCCAGACAUUUUCUCUAGGGCAACAGUGGCACAUCAGUAGGCAGGAACAGACCCAGCCUAUGAGGAGUGCUUCACUUCAGGCCAGGAGUUGUUGGCAAGAAAGACAGUCUCACAAGUAGCUAGACUUUCCCCACUUCUAUUUAAAAGAGUGGUGGGUAGGCAGGGCCAAUUGUUGGAACAACUUCAUGCUCCUGUGCAGCUCUUGAUCCUGGAAUCCUGACUCCUGGUCUUUACCUUGAACUGCUUUUAGGGAACCCUGAAGCUUCUCUCCUGAGCUGGACUGAUCCUUACCUCAUCACAGGUAUCCCGGGGUGACUGGACUAAUUUUUGCUCUUAUAUUCCUAAGUUUACACUGUCAGAAUAAAGUUUGGCUUCUUACUUGCAAGAAAGCCCAACUGUUGUUAUUCUUGGGUGGGAGUCAGGAUAUGCUGCUAUUUAUUUGAAAGUUGGGUAGUGUGAUCAAACCGUGUGGCAUCCUUUCCAUGUAGUAGUUGGUUUCAAGGACUCAGUUGGUUAAAGCAAUUUCUACUAUGUCAGGGAAAGCCUUUUGGCUGAAAAUCAUCCAAAUCACAUGAGCACAACUUCACACAUCAUUUACCAUGUGACUCUAAACCCAUGCUGAUGGAAUCCAAAAUGGUAAUAUUUUUGUGUGACUGUGCCAAAGACAUUCAGGUUAUGGUCCAAAGUGAUGAUAUUUGUUUUAUUGCUGGUUUAGCUCCCAUGGACACAGGAUGCAAACAGUUAUCUUGUGGCAAAGUAACACAGUACAUCAAAUGCAUCAAUUCUCAACUUAAUUUGGAACCACCAACAUAACCACUGGUGAGAUAUUACUAAAUAUGAGAGCCCCUUCUCUGCUAUUACAUUUGCAGGAAAGGAAGAUUCUUAUCAUUGUUUCACUCAGGAAUGUGCAUGAAGAAGCAGCGGUGAAAUUUGCUCACCAAGCAUUUUACUUAAAUAUCCACUUCUCUAGCAGUCUGAAAAUGAUUCCCUGAGUGCCUGCCAUUAAUGCUAUAGCUGUAGUGAAGCCAGGUGCCUUACAAAGCUCCUAGAUGGUUUAGGGCAGUCCAAAACCAAUUAAUCAAUGCCAGGCUACAUGAUGAUUUAUGACUUAGUACAUUGCUUUAUACUUUGCUGUUCUGAACUGAAACCAUUCCAGAGAGCUCACUGGAAAAACAGAUAUACCUUUAUUUUAGAGAGACACUGUGAUGGCAUUGAUUGAAUUUCAUAGACUGAGACUGGGAUCAAGUAGUGAUGUAGAUCUUUUCAAUGCACAAAACUUAGAAUCUGGCAUAGAGCAUCUGAAAAAAAUUCAACUUUCUAGAAGAUGCAAGAUCCGUUAAAUUAGUGGUGGUCUGUAUUUUCUUUCUGACUGUCUUUCUGACAGUGACGAGCAACUGAAGAGACCUCCAAUUCUAACUGUGAAGAGUGUAACCACUAACUUGGCAAAAUGCAAAUGCGUCAAACAGUAAGUUAAUGUUUAUACAGAAGCCACUGGCUAUGAAGAUCUGGAACUCCCCUAGCCAGACAGCAAAAGUUGUAAUUUUUUACAUCUUAGAUGAAAAUGUGAGCUCUUAUUUACAAUAUGAUAUAUGAGUGAUAAAUGCAAAACUAACGUUCAGAAAAUGAAAGACGAGAUAAUCCUUUGAGGAACUAGAAUGACUUAUCUACGUAUUAAUAGAAAAGGGAUACGGGAUUGGUUCUCCAUAUCGUAAAGCUUGGGACAGUUGACAACCAAAUUUGCACAGUAAGAAGGUAUGUUGAAUGAACUUAAGUAAAGAGAGGCAUGUGAUGGUUGGGACAGUUUUUGACUUUGAUAGCUAAUUUGCUGUUCAGGCUAGAUUUACCAAGCCACUAAAGUUGUUGAAAGUUGAUUGAUUGUGAGUAGAGAUGAGAUAUAUGUUUAGUCUUAUGGGAUAACAGUCAUGUACUUCGCCAUGUGCAGAACCUUAUUUUACAUUUUGAUACUGGCAAGAACUACUCAGGGAAAUUAAGCUAAACUUAAAAUAUAUAUCUGAGCAUUACAGAUUACUAGAAAAGCUAACCAAUAGACUGUAACUGACACGGGGACAAAUAGAAGAGGAUGUCUUCACCCCAGUAUGGCUCCCCUUUAUCACAUACACAGCCCAACAAGACAACAACAAGAAUCCACCAACAGCAUACAAAUCAAUCUGGCUUGCCUGACCCAACAAGCCCUCUCUCACCUCACAAAUGCAAACAAACCCCAUUGCAGCCAACCACAGACAACCCAGCCACACCCUGCCCCCAAUACCUCUCACUACCAAGGAAAUGUAAUAAAUGAAUAGAAAGAGAACUUACCCUGUUAACGCUGACACAAAACCCCACACGUACACUAUACAAAAGAAUGUAAGCCUUACCAUCUCACCCCUCCUCUCCCCCAACCCUAUACUCAACGCUAAUGUCUCACAACAAAUGUACAUGAUUUGUAAGAAAGACUGUACAACCUGAAAAAAGAGACAAGGCAUGUACUUUUUGUAAACC